GAGUCGGGGACGAAGUCCGGCUCCCGUAGGAGUCCGGACGAAGUCUACCUGCAAUUGAAGUCGGGGGUGAAGUCCAGCUCCCGUAGGAGUCCGGACGAAGUCUACUUGCAAUUGAAGUCAGGGAUGAAGUCCGGCUUCCGUAGGAGUCCGGACGAAGUCUACCUGCAAUUGAGGUCAGGGGCGAAGUCCAGCUCCCGUAGGAGUCCGGACGAAGUCUACCUGCAAUUGAAGUCAG
RNAcentral lists this long non-coding RNA (235 nucleotides) under Elaeis guineensis (African oil palm). RNAcentral describes it as "long non-coding RNA (EGUI_LNC060065)". Lineage: Eukaryota; Viridiplantae; Streptophyta; Magnoliopsida; Arecales; Arecaceae. The record is from RNAcentral.